Molecule: long non-coding RNA, 1624 nt
Organism: Brassica rapa (field mustard)
Lineage: Eukaryota; Viridiplantae; Streptophyta; Magnoliopsida; Brassicales; Brassicaceae
Source: RefSeq, a predicted model, not a curated record
GGAUUAGUAAAUGGGAGAAGCUGACAUACAAGCAGAAACUGAAGUAAAUCGACAGAUACAAAAACGUUAUGGGUUAAUAGAUCUCAAAACACCAAUAGCUCUACCUGGUCGAGUUCAGGUUAAGCGUUUCGACCAUUCUCUUCUGCGAACUUGAAAUUCUUCAAAGCAUGAGUUACCUGUGAUGUGCCUAAUGAGAGAUUUAACGAUGUGAUUAACAUGCUGAGGAUGAGUUUAGAUUAGCGGCGGUACCAAGAGCUUCGCGCCAUGGAUAUAAGUUGUGGCGUUCUCUUUGUGGAGUAGAGCUACUAAGCUUUUAGCCUUAAUAUGCUAAUCAUUUUUUGAACUUCCAUUUUGUAUGUGUAGUUUGAUUUUCUUUUGAAAGUGUGAUUAAAUGUCAGCUUCAAGAUUUAUCCCCUCUCAUCGUGUUCUUUUUUUUCCCACAUAAUUAGUCUCAUACCUUUCUAAUGCCAAAGAUUAAAUAGAUUAACAAAGUUUAAUGGAUCUCUCACCAUUGUUCCUCUUUCUCUUUGUUUCCGGUGAAAAACAUGUAUCACUUGAAUAUCGAUUUUGAGAACAAGAUUUUAGAUUUUAUACAAUAAUUGAAUUUAAAAAGGCCUUAAAAUGAUUAAAUUUCUAUGUAUUUUAUAAUCAGAGAUAACUCAUGUUGAUUUGUCUCGACUAUACAAAGCGGCUGGGCAUUUGUGUUGCCGCCAAGAGGAAACAACACAAUCACGAGUCCAUAUUCUGAUGAAUGAUUGUGCUGCUUUCAACUAAGCUAAAUUGUUAAUCAUUUUAUUACUAAUAAUGAAGUUCUUAUCAUCUUAUGUACAGUGUUAGAGAAUCUCCAUGUAUUCUUAAAAUCUAUAUGGAUCAUAAUUAUAAGACUACACAAAUGCUCGGCCGUUUUGUAUAUAGCCGAAACAAAUCAACAUAUGAGUUAUCUGAUUAUAAAAUACACAGAAAUUUAACCAUUUCGAGGCUAACACAAGUACUCUCUAUUUAUCUCACAUGUUUGUUCAGCAUCCCAUAUAUUUUUGGGUGGAAAAAAGAUGACAAAUUUUGAGUUUUAAUACUUGCAAAUUUGAUAUAUGAUUUAUAUUUUUAUAUCAUAGGCAUGAUAUAUGUGGAUUAUAUAUUAAAAACAAAUAUAUUAUAAACUGAAACAAACAUGUGUUAUAUAACAUCAUUUGUUGUUACAUAGUAUAUACUAAUUAUUAUUUAUGACAUUAUUGAAACUAUUUAUAUUUUACUUUUAAUAUGCCUUUUUAUAAUAUAAUCCCAUUACAUUUAAUUUUCAAUUGAUCUAGCUUGGAGGUGGAAUUAAUUUAUUAUCAUGAGAAAAAUAGUUAUUGUAAUAAUAUUAAAAUCUGGUCUCUUAUAAAUAAAAAAAUAUUUUAGUUAUUCUUUCUUUAUAAUUUUUUCAAAAUCUGAUUGAAAUAGAAAUCAAAUAGAAAAAUAUAAAUCCUUACAUUUCACUUAUUUUUUUUAAUUUAAUAAUUUUGUGGUCUUUUCAACACAAACCAACAAAGACAAAACAACCAAGAGUCCAAAUAGCAACAUGCAGAACAACUGCAGAAAAAAUACGGUGUGAUUCUAAUAAUAACGAAAAUGUAUAGAUACAUAG